This 356-nucleotide long non-coding RNA is filed under the name Panax ginseng (ginseng). RNAcentral's name for it is "long non-coding RNA (PGIN_LNC003904)". Lineage: Eukaryota; Viridiplantae; Streptophyta; Magnoliopsida; Apiales; Araliaceae. The record is from RNAcentral.
GAGAUUUAGUUCAUUGCUAUUGAAUUAAAAUCAAGAAUCCACAACCGAAUAAACAUUAGAAAAUAAAAAUAGAAUUAGAGUAGAAAAUAAAAUCUGUUGUCUGCAAAUCUGAUGCUCCCCCCUCUUGCUCCUGCUCUUGAUCUUCAAUGAUAUCCAAGUUACUUCAAUCUCCAACAAUCCAAUAUAAACUAGGGUUUAUGUUAUAAUAUAAUCUAAUCUGAUCUCCCUUGUAUGUAUCAAAAGUCUCCUCCCUUUUAUAGAUAAAUAUCCUCCCAAGUCGGCCUUUCAGUAGGAUCCUAUUUGGAAUAGAAAUUUACUUUCCUUUUCUCUCCUUUCCUUCCCUUACACAUAAUUCG